GGCCGUGUGACGAGUUCAAAGCGAACUAUUCUUUCGCCUUUUACUAAAGAAUACCGUGUGCUCUUCACUUAAAGCGGUAUAUACAUAUUUUUGGAAGAGCUUCCUUUAUGGAAGGCU
Small nuclear RNA from Cajanus cajan (pigeon pea), 117 nucleotides. It matches the Rfam family "U5 spliceosomal RNA". Rfam says of the family: U5 RNA is a component of both types of known spliceosome. The precise function of this molecule is unknown, though it is known that the 5' loop is required for splice site selection and p220 binding, and that both the 3' stem-loop and the Sm site are important for Sm protein binding and cap methylation. Lineage: Eukaryota; Viridiplantae; Streptophyta; Magnoliopsida; Fabales; Fabaceae. The record is from Rfam.